This is an unclassified non-coding RNA of Otolemur garnettii (small-eared galago), 289 nucleotides long. It matches the Rfam family "Metazoan signal recognition particle RNA". From Rfam's summary of the family: The signal recognition particle (SRP) is a universally conserved ribonucleoprotein. It is involved in the co-translational targeting of proteins to membranes. The eukaryotic SRP consists of a 300-nucleotide 7S RNA and six proteins: SRPs 72, 68, 54, 19, 14, and 9. The record is from Ensembl. NCBI's taxonomy places the organism in Eukaryota, Metazoa, Chordata, Mammalia, Primates, Galagidae.
GCCAGGUGUGGUGCACACCUCUUGUCCUUGCUCCUUGGGAGGCUGAGGCAAGAGGAUCAUUUGAGCCCAAGAGUCUGGGCUAUCAUGUGCUGUGCCGAUUCGGUGUCUGCACUAAGUUCAGUGUCAAUAUGGUGACCUACUGGUAGUUGGGGACCACAAAGUUGCCUAAGGAGGGGUGAAUCAGCCAAGGUCAGAAAUAGAGCAGAUCAGAGUUCCGAUGCUCAUUUGGUAUGAUCAUGCCUGUGAAUAGCCUGGGUAACAUAGUAAGACUCCAUCUCUAAAAAGAUAA